This 205-nucleotide microRNA precursor is filed under the name Oryza nivara. RNAcentral describes it as "MIR812 microRNA precursor family". It matches the Rfam family "MIR812 microRNA precursor family". Lineage: Eukaryota; Viridiplantae; Streptophyta; Magnoliopsida; Poales; Poaceae. The record is from Rfam by way of RNAcentral.
UAUAAGUGCAGUCAUGAUUUUCCGCGUCCAAUUUUGACCGUCCGUCUUAUUUGAAAAUUUUAAAAAAAAGUUUAAAAACAUAAAUCACGAGUAAAGUACUAUUCAUGUUUUAUCAUCUCAUAACAACGAAAAUACUAAUUAUAAAAAUAUUUUAAAUAAGACGAAUGAUCAAAGUUGGACGCGGAAACUUAUGGUUGCACUUAUA